GACGAACGCUGGCGGCGUGCUUAACACAUGCAAGUCGAACGGAAAGGCCUGCUUUCCCUUGUGGAUUGCGGGUACUCGAGUGGCGAACGGGUGAGUAACACGUGAGUGAUCUGCCCCCAACUUGGGUAUAAGCCUGGGAAACUGGGUCUAAUUCCCGAUAGGACUGCAGGGUGGUGUCUGUGGUGGAAAACGAUUUUCUAGUGGUUGGGGAUGAGCUCGCGGCCUAUCAGCUUGUUGGUGGGGUAAUGGCCUACCAAGGCGGCGACGGGUAGCCGGCCUGGGAGGGUGGACGGCCACAUUGGGACUGAGAUACGGCCCAGACUCCUACGGGAGGCAGCAGUGGGGAAUAUUGCACAAUGGGCGGAAGCCUGAUGCAGCGACGCCGCGUGGGGGAUGACGGCCUUCGGGUUGUAAACUCCUUUCGACCGCGAGGAAGCCACCUGGUUGGAAGGGUGGUGACGGUAGUGGUAGAAGAAGCACCGGCUAACUACGUG
Molecule: ribosomal RNA, 494 nt
Filed under: uncultured bacterium
Lineage: Bacteria
Description: partial 16S ribosomal RNA
Rfam family: Bacterial small subunit ribosomal RNA
Source: RNAcentral